RNAcentral lists this ribosomal RNA (476 nucleotides) under uncultured Bacteroidota bacterium. Its description in RNAcentral is "bacterial SSU rRNA". It matches the Rfam family "Bacterial small subunit ribosomal RNA", at positions 97 to 570 of the family's 1533-position model. The record is from RNAcentral. Lineage: Bacteria; Pseudomonadati; Bacteroidota.
GGCGAACGGGUUGCGUAACGCGUAGGCAACCUGCCCACAACUGGGGGAUAGCCUUGCGAAAGCGAGGGUAAACCCGCAUGGUCCUUUGGAGUCACCUGGCUUUUAAGGUAAACAUUUAUGGGUUGUGGAGGGGCUUGCGUCUGAUUAGCUAGUUGGUGGGGUAACGGCCCACCAAGGCGAUGAUCAGUAGGGGUUCUGAGAGGAUAGGCCCCCACAUGGGUACUGAGACACGGACCCAACUCCUACGGGAGGCAGCAGUAGGGAAUAUUGGGCAAUGGGCGGAAGCCUGACCCAGCCAUGCCGCGUGCAGGAUGAAGGCGCUCAGCGUUGUAAACUGCUUUUAUCUGGGAAGAAAAGUAUGCCUGCGGGUGUAUGUGACGGUACCAGAGGAAUAAGCACCGGCUAACUCCGUGCCAGCAGCCGCGGUAAUACGGAGGGUGCAAGCGUUGUCCGGAUUUAUUGGGUUUAAAGGGUGC